AGUUUGAUUAUGGCCUGUGAUUGAACGCUGGCGGAUGCUUUACAUGCAAAGUCGAACGGCAGGACUUCGGUCUGGUGGCGAGUGGCGAAUGGGUGAGUAAUAUCGGAACGCCUAGUAGCGGGGGAUAACUACGCCGCAGCGGCCAAUACCGCACACGCCCUCGGGGGAAAGCGGGGACCUUCUUCGGGCUCCUGCACUAUUAGAGCGGCCGAUAUCGGAUUAGCUAGUUAGUGGGGUAACGGCUCACCAAGGCGACGAUCCGUAGCUUGAGGACGACCAGCCACACUGGGACUGAGACAUCUUUGGCCCAGACUCCACGUGAGGCAGCAGUGGGGAAUUUUGACAAUGGGGAAACCCUGAUCCAGCCAUCCCGCGUGUGCGAUGAAGGCCUUCGGGUUGUAAAGCACUUUUGGCAGUGAAAGAAAACGGCACGGAUAUUAAUACCCGUGCAACUGACGGUACCUGCAGAAUAAGCACCGGAUACGUGCCGCCAGCAGCCGCGGUGUAGGGUAAGCGUUAAUCGGAAUUACUGGGCGUAAAGCGUGCAGGCGGUUCGGAAAGAAAGAUGAAAUCCCAGAGCUUAACUUUGAACUGCAUUUUUAACUACCGAGCUAGAGUGUCAGAGGGAGUGGAAUUCCGCGUGUAGCAGUGAAAAUGCGUAGAUAUGCGGAGGAACACCGACAUGAAGGCAGCCUUCCUGGGAUAACACUGACGUCAAUAUGCACGAAAGCGUGGGGAGCAAACAGGAUUAGAUACCCUGGUAGCGACGCCCUAAACGAUGUCAAUUCACAGCAAAUUUCCUGCCUUGUAGCAGCUAACGCGUGAAGUUGAAUCGCCUGGGGAGAUGGUCGUGUUUAAAACUCAAAGGAAUUGACGGACCCGCACAAGCAUGGCAUGAUGUGGAUUAAUUCGAUGCGAACGAAAAACCUUACCUACCCUUGAUGAUACCAAAGAGACUAGAGUGCUCGCAAGAGAACUGGAACAGGUGCUGCAUGGCUGUCGUCAGCUCGUGUCGAUGUUGGGUUAAGUCCUGCAACGAGGCAACCUCUUCUUUAUCAGUUAUUAUGGCUACGAAAGCGGCACUCUAAUGAGAUCAAGCCGGUGACAAACCGGAGGACAGGGAUGACGUCCUCAUGGCCCUUAUGGGUAGGGCUUCACAUCGUCAUACAAUGGUCGGGACAGAGGGUCACCAACCCGAGCUAAUCCCAGAAACCCGAUCGUAGUCCGGAUCAGUCUGCAACUCGACUGUGAAGUCGGAAUCAAUCAGUAAUCGCGGAUCGUGCAUGUCGCGGUGAAUACGUUCCCGGUCCGGCCACACACCGCCCGUCACACCAGGGAGUGGGUUUUACCAGAAGUAGUUAGCUUCCAACUGUAAGUGAGGGCGAUUACCAAUGUAGAUCCAUGACUGGGGUGAAGUCGUACAUCAUGGUAG
RNAcentral lists this ribosomal RNA (1432 nucleotides) under uncultured Bordetella sp. Its description in RNAcentral is "partial 16S-23S ribosomal RNA intergenic spacer". It matches the Rfam family "Bacterial small subunit ribosomal RNA". The record is from RNAcentral. Lineage: Bacteria; Pseudomonadati; Pseudomonadota; Betaproteobacteria; Burkholderiales; Alcaligenaceae.